RNAcentral lists this ribosomal RNA (548 nucleotides) under uncultured bacterium. Its description in RNAcentral is "bacterial SSU rRNA". It matches the Rfam family "Bacterial small subunit ribosomal RNA", at positions 355 to 896 of the family's 1533-position model. The record is from RNAcentral.
UGGGGAAUUUUGGACAAUGGGCGCAAGCCUGAUCCAGCAAUGCCGCGUGCAGGAAGAAGGCCUUCGGGUUGUAAACUGCUUUUGUCAGGGAAGAAAUCUUCUGGGCUAAUACCCCGGGAGGAUGACGGUACCUGAAGAAUAAGCACCGGCUAACUACGUGCCAGCAGCCGCGGUAAUACGUAGGGUGCGAGCGUUAAUCGGAAUUACUGGGCGUAAAGCGUGCGCAGGCGGCUUUGCAAGACAGAUGUGAAAUCCCCGGGCUCAACCUGGGAACUGCAUUUGUGACUGCAAGGCUAGAGUACGGCAGAGGGGGAUGGAAUUCCGCGUGUAGCAGUGAAAUGCGUAGAUGUGCGGAGGAACACCAAUGGCGAAGGCAAUCCCCUGGGCCUGUACUGACGCUCACGCACGAAAGCGUGGGGAGCAAACAGGAUUAGAUACCCUGGUAGUCCACGCCCUAAACGAUGUCAACUGGUUGUUGGACGGCUUGCUGUUCAGUAACGAAGCUAACGCGUGAAGUUGACCGCCUGGGGAGUACGGCCGCAAGGUUG